This 600-nucleotide ribosomal RNA is filed under the name uncultured bacterium. Its description in RNAcentral is "bacterial SSU rRNA". It matches the Rfam family "Bacterial small subunit ribosomal RNA", at positions 15 to 601 of the family's 1533-position model. The record is from RNAcentral.
GAUUAUGGCUCACAUUGAACGCCGGCGGCAUGCCUUACACAUGCAAGUCUAACGGCAGCAUGAUCUAGCUUGCUAGAUUGAUGGCGAGUGGCGAACGGGUGAGUAAUACAUCGGAACGUGCCCUGUAGUGGGGGAUAACUAGUCGAAAGAUUAGCUAAUACCGCAUACGACCUGAGGGUGAAAGUGGGGGAUCGCAAGGCCUCAUGCUAUAGGAGCGGUCGAUGUCUGAUUAGCUAGUUGGUGGGGUAAAGGCCCCCCCAGGCGACCAUCAGUAGCUGGUCUGAGAGGACGAUCAGCCACACUGGGACUGAGACACGGCCCCAGACUCCCUACGGGAGGCAGCAGUGGGGAAUUUUGGACAAUGGGCGAAAGCCUGAUCCCGCAAUGCCGCGUGUGUGAAGAAGGCCUUCGGGUUGUAAAGCACUUUUGUCUCGGAAAGAAAUGGCUCUGGUUAAUACCUGGGGUCGAUGACGGUACCGGAAGAAUAAGGACCGGCUAACUACGUGCCAGCAGCCGCGGUAAUACGUAGGGUCCAAGCGUUAAUCGGAAUUACUGGGCGUAAAGCGUGCGCAGGCGGUUGUGCAAGACCGAUGUGAAAUC